AAUCUUGCAUGAAAAAAGGCAUGCAAGUGUUUAGCGUUUAAACACAGCAUCAAGUUGAUGAAGCUUGAUUAUUGAUUAAUAGGUUAACAAAGGUUAAUAAAUUAAUUGAGAUGAAGUAAGAAUACUUGAGGUUGUAUGGUUAAGUGACUAAGCGUACAGGGCGGAUGCCUUGGCAAUCAGAGGCGAAGAAGGACGUGCUAAUCUGCGAAAAGCUUGGAUGAGUCGAUAAGAGGCGUU
Molecule: unclassified non-coding RNA, 237 nt
Filed under: Pasteurella multocida
Lineage: Bacteria; Pseudomonadati; Pseudomonadota; Gammaproteobacteria; Pasteurellales; Pasteurellaceae
Description: partial contains 16S-23S ribosomal RNA intergenic spacer and 23S ribosomal RNA
Rfam family: Bacterial large subunit ribosomal RNA (bases 138-237)
Source: RNAcentral